AUACGCACCAUAAACCAUUUGCAAGAGUUACUGCCUCAAGCUUAGCCUAAAAAUCUUUGCCAUUUGCAAACUGAUGGAAUUUAUUAAGCGAGUUAAGAUCUCUAACCAUUGAAUUUAGGUGAGAGAGGUCCAAAUAAGCCUAGUCUGUGUCAAGUUAUCAACAUCCAGCAUCAUUCUAACUUGUUGUAAAGAGUAUGAAGUACUAACUGUUACUUCAGCAAGCUCAAAGUUUAGCUUUUCCUGGCUGAAGUUGUAGGUUCUGAAGUUUCAUUGCCAUGCCCAUGUUCCCAGAAAUCUUCAAUUUGCCUUGAAAGAAGGCUGUCUGAGGAUUCAUUUUGCCCGUCAUCAGAGCUAACAGAUCGGUGUCAGCCAUCGUAAUUGUACAGUCUGCCUUCUUAUCUGAAUUAACUGCUACUGAGCCUUUUCCAUUCUUCACAUCUACUACCCAGGUUGCCUCCUUCCCACCAGGACCAUCUUUUAUUUUGAAGGCAAAGACUCCACCAAUUUUCUUGACAAAUUGUUCUCCUUCCUCUUGGAGCUUCUUUUCUAUCUCUUUGAAGACCAAGUGUGACUUAAAUCCAUCAACAGCCGCGCUGAGAGGCACGGCCGUAACUCGGCCAUCACUGGCGGCUCCGGGGAAGCCCAUGGCGUACAGCGUCACCACCACAGCCCCGCCGAGGCCCAGGUUGUGCUGCAGCGCCCGCCGCGCACCGCCCACUUGCCGCCUCCCGGCCAGGCCGCGCAGCUGCCAGCAGAGUUCGGCGCACUGCGCCAGGCCUGUGGCACCAAGAGGGUGUCCCUUUGAAAUCAAACCGCCGCUAGGAUUAAUGACCCACUUUCCCCCGUAGGUAUUGUCUCCUCUGUCAAUCAGAUCACACGCUUUUCCUGGUGGAGCAAUAUUUAGAAAAGGAGAAACGCUCAGUGGUUUUUAAAACAUCAUUUUUCAGUUCUGGCGUCACAAACCAAAGGUGCUGCAAACACUUUCUGUCCGCUAAACCUUAGAAAUACAUCUGCGAGGGCAGGCUGAACUGAGCCCAGCAGCCUUGGUGAGGCUUGGCUUACGAGUGGAGAAAGGGAAGGUGGGAGAGGAGCCAGGUGGUGCCUGAUGGAAAGGCUCGUUCUACUUAGCUGUCCAGCUGUGCAUAUGCAGUGUUGUGACAUGGCCAGCAUAACGCAGUCAUUAGUUGUUAUAUCAAGGAAGCUACCAUGAAAAUUAUGGGUUUUGUAUAAGAAAAGUUAGUUGUAAUUAGUGACUGCUUUCCUUUAUCUCCUGAAGGAUUUACUUGCAAAGUUAUCAUCAACACUAGGGG
RNAcentral lists this long non-coding RNA (1310 nucleotides) under Gallus gallus (chicken). The record is from RNAcentral. Lineage: Eukaryota; Metazoa; Chordata; Aves; Galliformes; Phasianidae.